Molecule: unclassified non-coding RNA, 479 nt
Filed under: Hevea brasiliensis (rubber tree)
Lineage: Eukaryota; Viridiplantae; Streptophyta; Magnoliopsida; Malpighiales; Euphorbiaceae
Source: RNAcentral
GUCUCUUAUGCUUUUACUAUAGUAUUAUUCCUUGAACUUGAUUAUUGUGUGCCUUUGAUAUGAUUUUUUUUCUUUUUUUGUGUAAAACAUUCAUUUUAUCUUUCUAUGGUCUAACCAUGAUUUUCCCCCCUAACAUGAUAGAUAUCAGUGUUAAUUCAUUCCUUCCCUCUCUUACUUCAAUAUGGAUGGAACAUCCACUUGUAACUGGAGAAAUCCCAGUUGAAGCACUAGAUAGCUGGGAUUGUAGAAAAUUCAUAUUUAUUACUGCAACUUUGUAGUUUUAAUAUCAUUUGCUGAGGCACUGGUUAAUUAUCUUCACUUUCAUCUUUUCGAAACUAGAAUUUAGAAAAUAAAAAUGAUAAUACACAAGAGGGCUAGUAUGCAUAACUUAGAAGACCUCAUUUAUUUCAUCUACUUGAUUACGAUGACAUUUUCUUGCAUGGUUUUUAUAUUAUCUUUGUAUACUUCAGUCUUGUGAG